Molecule: signal recognition particle RNA, 314 nt
Filed under: Castor canadensis (American beaver)
Lineage: Eukaryota; Metazoa; Chordata; Mammalia; Rodentia; Castoridae
Description: Metazoan signal recognition particle RNA (ENSCCNG00000025017.1)
Rfam family: Metazoan signal recognition particle RNA
About the family: The signal recognition particle (SRP) is a universally conserved ribonucleoprotein. It is involved in the co-translational targeting of proteins to membranes.
Source: RNAcentral
GCCGGGCGCGGUGGCGCGCGCCUGUAGUCCUAGCUACUCGGGAGGCUGAGGCAGGAGGAUCGCUUGAGUCCAGGAGUUCUGGGCUGCAGUGCGCUAUGCCGAUCAGGUGUCCGCACUAAGUUCAGCAUCAAUAUGGUGACCUCCCGGGAGCGGGGGACCACCAGGUUGCCUAAGGAGGGGUGAACCGGCCCAGGUCGGAAAAAUUUUUAUUAGCAUGCAUUAAUAAUACAAGGGGGUUUCAUUGGGAUAAUUCCAUAGAUAUGCAUAGUGUACUUUGACCAAGUUCACCCCCUCUAAAAUAUUCCCUUAGCUCU